RNAcentral lists this ribosomal RNA (767 nucleotides) under uncultured bacterium. RNAcentral describes it as "bacterial SSU rRNA". It matches the Rfam family "Bacterial small subunit ribosomal RNA", at positions 31 to 770 of the family's 1533-position model. The record is from RNAcentral.
GAACGCUGGCGGCGUGCCUAACACAUGCAAGUCGUACGAGAAAUCCCGAGCUUGCUUGGGAGAGUAAAGUGGCGCACGGGUGAGUAACGCGUGGGUAACCCACCUUCGAAUCUGGGAUAACUCCGCGAAAGCGGUGCUAAUACCGGAUAAGACCACAGCCGUUUCGGCGGCAGAGGUAAAAGCUGACCUCUCCAUGGAAGUUAGCGUUCGAGGACGGGCCCGCGUCCUAUCAGCUUGUUGGUGGGGUAAAGGCCUACCAAGGCAGCGACGGGUAGCUGGUCUGAGAGGAUGAUCAGCCACACUGGAACUGGAACACGGUCCAGACUCCUACGGGAGGCAGCAGUGAGGAAUUUUGCGCAAUGGGGGAAACCCUGACGCAGCAACGCCGCGUGGGUGAAGAAGGCUUUCGGGUCGUAAAGCCCUGUCAGGUGGGAAGAACCGUUUCGAUACUAAUAAUGUCGAAGCCUGACGGUACCACCAGAGGAAGCACCGGCCAACUCCGUGCCAGCAGCCGCGGUAAUACGGAGGGUGCAAGCGUUGUUCGGAAUUAUUGGGCGUAAAGAGCGUGUAGGCGGUUUGGUAAGUCAGAUGUGAAAGCCCUGGGCUCAACCCAGGAAGUGCAUUUGAAACUACCAGACUUGAGUACGGGAGAGGAGGGGGGAAUUCCCGGUGUAGAGGUGAAAUUCGUAGAUAUCGGGAGGAAUACCAGUGGCGAAGGCGCCCCUCUGGACCGAUACUGACGCUGAGACGCGAAAGCGUGGGGAGCA